Molecule: ribosomal RNA, 310 nt
Filed under: Clostridioides difficile
Lineage: Bacteria; Bacillati; Bacillota; Clostridia; Peptostreptococcales; Peptostreptococcaceae
Description: partial 23S ribosomal RNA
Rfam family: Bacterial large subunit ribosomal RNA
Source: RNAcentral
AGAACGUCGUGAGACAGUUCGGUCCCUAUCCGUCGCAGGCGUAGGAAAUUUGAGAAGACCUGUCCUUAGUACGAGAGGACCGGGAUGGACGUACCUCUGGUGUACCAGUUGUCCUGCCAAGGGCAUGGCUGGGGAGCUAUGUACGGAAUGGAUAAGCGCUGAAAGCAUCUAAGCGCGAAGCCAACUUCAAGAUAAGAUUUCCCACCGCAAGGGUAAGACUCCAGAAAGACUAUCUGGUUGAUAGGUCGAAGGUGUAAGUGCAGCAAUGUAUUUAGCUUAUCGAUACUAAUAGGUCGAGGACUUGACCAAU